UUUCUCGCAUCGAUGAAGAACGCAGCGAAAUGCGAUAAGUAGUGUGAAUUGCAGAAUUCAGUGAAUCAUCGAAUCUUUGAACGCACAUUGCGCCCCUUGGUAUUCCAUGGGGCAUGCCUGUUCGAGCGUCAUUUAUACCUUCAAGCUCUGCUUGGUGUUGGGUGUUUGUCUCGCCUCUGCGCGUAGACUCGCCUUAAAACAAUUGGCAGCCGGCGUAUUGAUUUCGGAGCGCAGUACAUCUCGCGCUUUGCACUCAUAACGACGGCAUCCAAAAGUACAUCUUAACGCUUGACCUCGGAUCAGGUAGGGAUACCCGCUGAACUUAAGCAUAUCAAUAAGCGGAGGA
This 346-nucleotide ribosomal RNA is filed under the name Acalolepta sublusca. RNAcentral's name for it is "eukaryotic LSU rRNA". The stretch from base 2 to 131 matches the Rfam family "5.8S ribosomal RNA", at positions 25 to 154 of the family's 154-position model. Lineage: Eukaryota; Metazoa; Arthropoda; Insecta; Coleoptera; Cerambycidae. The record is from RNAcentral.